GCGGUCAUGGCGGAACUGGCAGACGCGCUGUCUUCAGGCGGCAGUGAGGCAACUCGUGGAGGUUCGAAUCCUCUUGGCCGCA
This 82-nucleotide transfer RNA is filed under the name Bavariicoccus seileri. RNAcentral's name for it is "tRNA-Leu". It matches the Rfam family "tRNA". Rfam says of the family: Transfer RNA (tRNA) molecules are approximately 80 nucleotides in length. Their secondary structure includes four short double-helical elements and three loops (D, anti-codon, and T loops). Lineage: Bacteria; Bacillati; Bacillota; Bacilli; Lactobacillales; Enterococcaceae. The record is from RNAcentral.